UACGGAGGGUGCAAGCGUUGUCCGGAAUCACUGGCGUAAAGGGCGCGUAGGCGGCUCAUGAAGGCUGAUGGUGAAAGUCCGGGCUCAACCUCGGAAUCGGCCGUGGCGACUCGUGGGCUGGAGCACUGUAGAGGCGGGUGGAAUUCCGGGUGUAGCGGAUGGAAUGCGUAGAGAUCCGGAAGAACACCAGUGGCGAAGGCGGCCCGCUGGGCAGUGGCUG
Molecule: ribosomal RNA, 220 nt
Filed under: uncultured bacterium
Lineage: Bacteria
Description: partial 16S ribosomal RNA
Rfam family: Bacterial small subunit ribosomal RNA
Source: RNAcentral